UGCCAGACUCCUACGGGAGGCAGCAGUGGGGAAUAUUGCACAAUGGGGGGAACCCUGAUGCAGCGACGCCGCGUGGGUGAGGAAGUACUUCGGUAUGUAAAGCCCUAUCAGCAGGGAAGAAAAUGACGGUACCUGACUAAGAAGCCCCGGCUAACUACGUGCCAGCAGCCGCGGUAAUACGUAGGGGGCAAGCGUUAUCCGGAUUUACUGGGUGUAAAGGGAGCGUAGACGGCGUGCCAAGUCUGAUGUGAAAGGCCGGGGCUCAACCCCGGGACUGCAUUGGAAACUGUGCAGCUAGAGUGCAGGAGAGGUAAGUGGAAUUCCUAGUGUAGCGGUGAAAUGCGUAGAUAUUAGGAGGAGCACCAGUGGCGAAGGCGGCUUACUGGACUGUAACUGACGUUGAGGCUCGAAAGCGUGGGGAGCAAACAGGAUUAGAUACCCCUGUA
This 446-nucleotide ribosomal RNA is filed under the name uncultured bacterium. RNAcentral's name for it is "bacterial SSU rRNA". It matches the Rfam family "Bacterial small subunit ribosomal RNA", at positions 329 to 792 of the family's 1533-position model. The record is from RNAcentral.